RNAcentral lists this ribosomal RNA (496 nucleotides) under uncultured bacterium. RNAcentral describes it as "bacterial SSU rRNA". It matches the Rfam family "Bacterial small subunit ribosomal RNA", at positions 16 to 507 of the family's 1533-position model. The record is from RNAcentral.
AUCAUGGCUCAGAUUGAACGCUGGCGGCAUGCCUUACACAUGCAAGUCGAACGGUAACAGGUCUUCGGAUGCUGACGAGUGGCGAACGGGUGAGUAAUACAUCGGAACGUGCCCAGUCGUGGGGGAUAACGUAGCGAAAGUUACGCUAAUACCGCAUACGAUCUACGGAUGAAAGCGGGGGACUCGCAAGAGCCUCGCGCGAUUGGAGCGGCCGAUAUCAGAUUAGGUAGUUGGUGGGGUAAAGGCUCACCAAGCCAACGAUCUGUAGCUGGUCUGAGAGGACGACCAGCCACACUGGAACUGAGACACGGUCCAGACUCCUACGGGAGGCAGCAGUGGGGAAUUUUGGACAAUGGACGCAAGUCUGAUCCAGCCAUUCCGCGUGCAGGAUGAAGGCCCUCGGGUUGUAAACUGCUUUUGUACGGAACGAAAAGGUUUCUAUUAAUACUAGGAGCUCAUGACGGUACCGUAAGAAUAAGCACCGGCUAACUACGUG